AACGCACGAGACCUGCGGACCUGCGGAGGGAUCAUUACCGAGUACGCUUGUUUUGCAAGCAACUCCCACCCAUUGUCAACAUCUCUGUUGCUUCGGCGAGCCGACAGUUUUCGAAUUGCCGUCGGAUUCAUCGGGCGAGAGCUCGCCGAAGUUUUUUUAACGCAUCAUUGGAGUCUGAUUUUUUCUCAAUAGAAAAAACUUUUAACAAUGGAUCUCU
This 217-nucleotide unclassified non-coding RNA is filed under the name soil metagenome. Its description in RNAcentral is "partial contains 5.8S ribosomal RNA, internal transcribed spacer 2, and large subunit ribosomal RNA". The record is from RNAcentral.